GACGGGACCCGCACAAGCGGUGGACGAUUAGUUGGUUUAAUUCGAUGCAACGCGAAAACCUUACCCACCUUUGACAUGUACGGAAUCCUUUAGAGAUAGAGGAGUGCUCGAAAGAGAGCCGUAACACAGGUGCUGCAUGGCUGUCGUCAGCUCGUGUCGUGAGAUGUUGGGUUAAGUCCCGCAACGAGCGCAACCCUUGUCAUUAGUUGCUACAUUCAGUUGGGCACUCUAAUGAGACUGCCGGUGACAAACCGGAGGAAGGUGGGGAUGACGUCAAGUCCUCAUGGCCCUUAUAGGUGGGGCUACACACGUCAUACAAUGGAUGGCACAAAGGGUCGCCAACCCGCGAGGGGGAGCCAAUCCCAUAAAGCCAUUCGUAGUCCGGAUCGCAGUCUGCAACUCGACUGCGUGAAGUCGGAAUCGCUAGUAAUCGUGGAUCAGAAUGUCACGGUGAAUACGUUCCCGGGUCUU
This 471-nucleotide ribosomal RNA is filed under the name uncultured Acidovorax sp. RNAcentral's name for it is "bacterial SSU rRNA". It matches the Rfam family "Bacterial small subunit ribosomal RNA", at positions 916 to 1381 of the family's 1533-position model. The record is from RNAcentral. Lineage: Bacteria; Pseudomonadati; Pseudomonadota; Betaproteobacteria; Burkholderiales; Comamonadaceae.